Molecule: ribosomal RNA, 666 nt
Filed under: uncultured bacterium
Lineage: Bacteria
Description: bacterial SSU rRNA
Rfam family: Bacterial small subunit ribosomal RNA
Source: RNAcentral
AGGAUAGACCCUUCAGUGCCGCAGUUACCACAAUAAGUAAUCCACCUGGGGAGUACGACCGCAAGGUUGAAACUCAAAGGAAUUGACGGGGGCCCGCACAAGCAGUGGAGUAUGUGGUUUAAUUCGACGCAACGCGAAAGACCCUUACCAAGUCUUGACAUCCUCUGACGAUGCUGGAAACAGUAUUUUCCUUCGGGACAGAGAGACAGGUGGUGCAUGGUUGUCGUCAGCUCGUGUCGUGAGAUGUUGGGUUAAGUCCCGCAACGAGCGCAACCCUUAUGGAUAGUUACUACGCAAGAGGACUCUAUUCAGACUGCCGUUGACAAAACGGAGGAAGGUGGGGGUGACGUCAAAUCAUCAUGCCCUUUAUGACUUGGGCUACACACGUACUACAAUGGCGUUCAACAAAGAGAAGCGAAAUCGCGAGAUGGAGCAAAACUCAAAAACAACGUCCCAGUUCAGAUUGCAGGCUGCGACUCGCCUGCAUGAAGUCGGAAUUGCUAGUAAUCGCAGAUCAGCAUGCUGCGGUGAAUACGUUCCCGGGCCUUGUACACACCGCCCGUCACACCAUGAGAGCCGGGGGGACCCGAAGUCGGCAGUCUAACCGCAAGGAGGACACCGCCGAAGGUAAAACUGGUGAUUGGGGUGAAGUCGUAACAAGGUAGC